CUGAAAGGCCAGAAAGAAUCCUAAGCAGGGAUGAGGGCCCGGGGAGAUGGCGACGUGAAGAGGAUUGGAGGGAUCUUCUGGAGAGCCCGGAGCCAGGUCCAGCCUGAUUAGGAACAAAAGACGGUUCCACUCCUGGGCAGAAUCUCCCCUUGGUGGUUUGCUAAGGCUCCGGUGGUAGAAUGGAUUUUCUCACAGUUCCGGAAGCUCCAAGUCCAAGCUCAAGGUGUCGGCAGGUUCGGCUCCUGCUAUGAGUGCUGAGGGAAGGAUGUGUUCUGGGCUUCUCCCCCGGCUUCUGAUGGUCUGCCGGCAAUCCUUGGCGUUCCCCUGGCUCCACCAUCCCUGGUUAACUGCAUGUCUCCAACCAUUGGAAGGGACGAACGUUGUUGUCACAGCACCGGGUUCCUUAAAGUCAGUCUGUAUUGAAAGAGAUCUCUCUUCAGCUUUACUCAA
Molecule: long non-coding RNA, 450 nt
Organism: Neogale vison (American mink)
Lineage: Eukaryota; Metazoa; Chordata; Mammalia; Carnivora; Mustelidae
Exons: 3
Source: RefSeq, a predicted model, not a curated record